UAAACCUUUGAAUGGCUCGAAAUGUUGUGA
This 30-nucleotide non-coding RNA is filed under the name Mus musculus (house mouse). The record is from RNAcentral. Lineage: Eukaryota; Metazoa; Chordata; Mammalia; Rodentia; Muridae.